AAUAAGUGCAGCCAUGAGUUUCCGUGCCUAACUUUAGUCACCCGUUUUAUUUUAAUUUUUUUAUAAUUAGCAUUUUUGUUGUUAUAAGAUGAUAAAACAUGAAUAGUACUUUACUCGUGACUUAUGUUUUUAAUUUUUUAAAAAAUUUUUUCAAAUAAGACGGUUAAAGUUAGACGCUGAAAACUAUGGCUGUACUUUGG
Molecule: non-coding RNA, 200 nt
Organism: Oryza barthii
Lineage: Eukaryota; Viridiplantae; Streptophyta; Magnoliopsida; Poales; Poaceae
Source: Rfam